GAUGAACGCUGGCGGCGUGCCUAAUACAUGCAAGUAGAACGCUGAAGGAGGAGCUUGCUCUUCUGGAUGAGUUGCGAACGGGUGAGUAACGCGUAGGUAACCUGCCUGGUAGCGGGGGAUAACUAUUGGAAACGAUAGCUAAUACCGCAUGACAACAGUUAUUGCAUGAUAACUGUUUAAAAGGGGCAAUUGCUCCACUACCAGAUGGACCUGCGUUGUAUUAGCUAGUUGGUGAGGUAACGGCUCACCAAGGCAACGAUACAUAGCCGACCUGAGAGGGUGAUCGGCCACACUGGGACUGAGACACGGCCCAGACUCCUACGGGAGGCAGCAGUAGGGAAUCUUCGGCAAUGGACGGAAGUCUGACCGAGCAACGCCGCGUGAGUGAAGAAGGUUUUCGGAUCGUAAAGCUCUGUUGUAAGAGAAGAACGAGUGUGAGAGUGGAAAGUUCACACUGUGACGGUAUCUUACCAGAAAGGGACGGCUAACUACGUGCCAGCAGCCGCGGUAAUACGUAGGUCCCGAGCGUUGUCCGGAUUUAUUGGGCGUAAAGCGAGCGCAGGCGGUUAGAUAAGUCUGAAGUUAAAGGCUGUGGCUUAACCAUAGUACGCUUUGGAAACUGUUUAACUUGAGUGCAAGAGGGGAGAGUGGAAUUCCAUGUGUAGCGGUGAAAUGCGUAGAUAUAUGGAAGAACACCGGUGGCGAAAGCGGCUCUCUGGCUUGUAACUGACGCUGAGGCUCGAAAGCGUGGGGAGCAAACAGG
RNAcentral lists this ribosomal RNA (763 nucleotides) under uncultured Streptococcus sp. Its description in RNAcentral is "bacterial SSU rRNA". It matches the Rfam family "Bacterial small subunit ribosomal RNA", at positions 28 to 776 of the family's 1533-position model. Lineage: Bacteria; Bacillati; Bacillota; Bacilli; Lactobacillales; Streptococcaceae. The record is from RNAcentral.